RNAcentral lists this ribosomal RNA (450 nucleotides) under uncultured bacterium. RNAcentral describes it as "bacterial SSU rRNA". It matches the Rfam family "Bacterial small subunit ribosomal RNA", at positions 354 to 796 of the family's 1533-position model. The record is from RNAcentral.
GUGGGGAAUAUUGCACAAUGGGCGCAAGCCUGAUGCAGCCAUGCCGCGUGUGUGAAGAAGGCCUUCGGGUUGUAAAGCACUUUCAGUCAGGAGGAAAGGGUGUGUUUUAAUAGAGCACAUCUGUGACGUUACUGACAGAAGAAGCACCGGCUAACUCCGUGCCAGCAGCCGCGGUAAUACGGAGGGUGCGAGCGUUAAUCGGAAUUACUGGGCGUAAAGCGUACGCAGGCGGUUUGUUAAGCGAGAUGUGAAAGCCCUGGGCUCAACCUGGGAACUGCAUUUCGAACUGGCAAACUAGAGUGUGAUAGAGGGUGGUAGAAUUUCAGGUGUAGCGGUGAAAUGCGUAGAGAUCUGAAGGAAUACCGAUGGCGAAGGCAGCCACCUGGGUCAACACUGACGCUCAUGUACGAAAGCGUGGGGAGCAAACAGGAUUAGAAACCCUAGUAGUCC